RNAcentral lists this transfer RNA (72 nucleotides) under Marmota monax (woodchuck). It matches the Rfam family "tRNA". From Rfam's summary of the family: Transfer RNA (tRNA) molecules are approximately 80 nucleotides in length. Their secondary structure includes four short double-helical elements and three loops (D, anti-codon, and T loops). The record is from Rfam by way of RNAcentral. Lineage: Eukaryota; Metazoa; Chordata; Mammalia; Rodentia; Sciuridae. RNAcentral also lists the same sequence under 2 other names.
UGGGUUGUAGCUCAGUGGUGGAGUGCUUGCCUGGCACAUGUGAAGCACUGGGUUCGAUUCUCAGCAGCACAU